RNAcentral lists this non-coding RNA (87 nucleotides) under Chrysemys picta bellii (western painted turtle). RNAcentral also lists the same sequence under 1 other name. The record is from RNAcentral. Lineage: Eukaryota; Metazoa; Chordata; Testudines; Emydidae.
UGUGGUAGUGAUGGUGAAAGUGCUAGCGUAGAAACGGCAGAUGCUUUUCAUGCUCUCUUUGCUAGCGCUUCCACCAAGGUUACCACU